Molecule: long non-coding RNA, 1388 nt
Filed under: Lonchura striata (white-rumped munia)
Lineage: Eukaryota; Metazoa; Chordata; Aves; Passeriformes; Estrildidae
Description: domestica (Bengalese finch) lncRNA (ENSLSDG00000008545.1)
Source: RNAcentral
CACACUGGGAACAACCUGGGGACAAUUCCUGCCACCCCAGGUGGCUCCAGCCCUGUCCCUGUCCCUGUCCCUGUCCCUGUCCCUGUCCCUGUCCCUGUCCCCAUCCCUGUCCCCUGUCCCCAUCUCUGUCCCUUGUCCCCUCUCUGUCCUCCUCACUGUCCCUGUCCCUUUCUUGUCCCAUUUUCUGUCCCUGUCCCCUCCUGUCCCUGUCCCCAUCCCUGUCCCCUGUCCCCAUCUCUGUCCCUUGUCCCCUCUCCUCUGUCCUCAUCCCUGUCCCUUCUCCCUUUCUUGUCCUAUUUUCUGUCCCUGUCCCCUCUCCCCUGUCCCCGUCCCCAUCCCUGUCCCCAUCCCUCUCCCCUCUCCCCUGUCCCCUUCCCUGUCCCCAUUUCCUCUCUUUGUCCCUUGUCCCCUCCCCAUCCCUGUCCCCUUCCCUGUCCCCAUUCCCAUCCCUGUCCCAUUUUCUGUCCCUUGUCCCCUCUCCCCUGUCCCCGUCCCCAUCCCUGUCCCUUUCCCUGUCCCCAUCCCUGUCCCCAUUUCCUCUUUGUCCCUUGUCCCCAUUCCCAUCCCUGUCCCAUUCUCUGUCCCUUCCUUGUCCCAUUUUCUGUCCCCAUCCCUGUCCCCUCUCCCCUGUCCCCUUCCCUGUCCCCAUUUCGUCUUUGUCCCUUGUCUCCUCUCUCAUCCCUGUCCCCUGUCCCUUUCUUGUCCCAUUUUCUGUUCCUUGUCCUCUCUCCCCUGUCCCCAUUCCCAUCCCUGUCCCUGUCCCCAUCCCUGUCCCAUUCUCUGUCCCAUUUUCUGUCCCCUGUCCCCUCUCCCCUGUCCCUGUCCUCAUCCCUGUCCCUUCCUGUCCCCAUUCCCAUCCCCUUCCCCAUCCCUCUCCCCUCUCCCCUGUCCCCUUCCCUGUCCCCAUUUCCUCUCUUUGUCCCUUUCCCUGUCCCCAUCCCUGUCCCUUCCUGUCCCCAUUCCCAUCCCUGUCCCCAUCCGUGUCACUUGUCCCCUCUCCCCUGUCCCCGUCCCCAUCCCUGUCCCCUUCCCUGUCCCCAUUUCCUCUCUUUGUCCCUUGUCCCUUCUCCCCUGUCCCUGUCCUCAUCCCUGUCCCAUCCUGUCCCCAUUCCCAUCCCUGUCCCCAUCCCUCUCCCCUCUCCCCUGUCCCCUUCCCUGUCCCCAUUUCCUCUCUUUGUCCCUUUCCCCGUCCCCAUCCCUGUCCCAUCCUGUCCCCAUUCCCAUCCCUGUCCCAUUUUCUGUCCCUUGUCCCCUCUCCCCUGUCCCCAUCCCCAUCCCUGUCCCCAUCCCUGUCCCUUUCCCUGUCCCCAUCCCUGUCCCAUUCUCUGUCCCUUCCUUGUCCCUUUCCCUGUCCCCAUCCCUGUCCCAUCCUGUCCCCAUUCCCAUCC